Molecule: ribosomal RNA, 492 nt
Filed under: uncultured bacterium
Lineage: Bacteria
Description: partial 16S ribosomal RNA
Rfam family: Bacterial small subunit ribosomal RNA
Source: RNAcentral
AGUGAACGCUGGCGGUAGGCCUAACACAUGCAAGUCGAACGGCAGCACAGUAAGAGCUUGCUCUUACGGGUGGCGAGUGGCGGACGGGUGAGGAAUACAUCGGAAUCUACUUUUUCGUGGGGGAUAACGUAGGGAAACUUACGCUAAUACCGCAUACGACCUACGGGUGAGAGCAGGGGAUCUUCGGACCUUGCGCGAUUGAAUGAGCCGAUGUCGGAUUAGCUAGUUGGCGGGGUAAAGGCCCACCAAGGCGACGAUCCGUAGCUGGUCUGAGAGGAUGAUCAGCCACACUGGAACUGAGACACGGUCCAGACUCCUACGGGAGGCAGCAGUGGGGAAUAUUGGACAAUGGGCGCAAGCCUGAUCCAGCCAUACCGCGUGGGUGAAGAAGGCCUUCGGGUUGUAAAGCCCUUUUGUUGGGAAAGAAAAGCAGCAGGUUAAUACCCCGCUGUUCUGACGGUACCCAAAGAAGAAGCACCGGCUAACUUCGUG